This is a long non-coding RNA of Mus musculus (house mouse), 1362 nucleotides long. RefSeq annotates it as predicted gene, 35607. Lineage: Eukaryota; Metazoa; Chordata; Mammalia; Rodentia; Muridae. The record is from RefSeq and is marked validated. The transcript has 2 exons.
GUCUCUUUCAGCCUGUGCUCCUGAGAACAGCAGCAAGUGGAGAAGCUGGAGAAACCGGGAGGGCCAAGGGACACACGUCCAGUCCCUGAGCUGAUAAGCAGCGGCCUAGGACAUUGAUCCUGAAGAGGAAUUUCCUGUUGAGACUUCCUCUUUCCUGGGGAGCGCCACAGUGUCUGGCCGGCGCCUGGCUUGCGCACACACACACACACACACACACACACACACACACACUUUUGUCGGUCAGAAAGCUGCGCCGCUGCCCUGUCUACUGAGGGGUUUUGAGCCUCUCCGUCCUUACCUUCUCUCUCACGCUUCAAAGGUCCUGGGAUGUUGAACUCAGACUUGGCCAUAAGCGACCUCACCAACUGAGCCACCUCCCCGAGGCCUUGGAGGUGGUUUGUGAGAGCAGCUCCAAGAGAAGAGGAAGUACAAGGAUGUCCAGGGUUGACUGGCACACACUGCAGCUUCUGGGGCCACACCCCUACCUCUUGCUGAUGCACAGGGUCCUCCAGACCAUUGCCCUAUCCCCGCCCCUGGGCUCUGGCUCUACCACCUACGGAAUUAGACCCAGAGUGGCAGUUUCACAAAGGCUGCUGAGAAGAGUGAAGGUUGGAUGUGGGCCGGGCUCAGUCACCUCAGGGCUGUUUAUCCUUCCCAAGCAGCCGGUCAUGUGCCUGGCUAUUUGCAGCUGAGAGACAGAAGAAAGAACUCCGGGAACUAGAAAGUCGCUGCUUCCUGGAUUUGGGUGUGGAUUUGGAUCAGGUGACCUGACUGUUGCUUAGAGGCCUGGCUUCUGUCUUCACCAUUAGUUCUUACUACAGGGAAAGCAAGCAACAACCGGGAUGUCCACAGGUUCUCCCUAGGUCAAGUGGCCACCCCAAGGCCCAGGUCUGUCAUUUGGCUCAUAAACAAGGACAAGUACAGGAAAGUGGUACACUCUGCCCGUAGCUCUGACUCUUUUGUUUUGUUUUAGAUUUAUGUGUGUGUGUGUGUACACUAUUGCUGUCUUCAGACACUUCAGAAGAAGGUGUCAGAUAUCAUUACAGAUGGUUGUGAGCCACCAUGUGGUUGCUGGGGUUUGAACUCAGGACCUCUGGAAGAACAGUCAGUGCUCUUAACCUCUGAGCCAUCUCUCCAGCCCCGUAGCUCUGAGUCUUAGCACACCAGAGCCUAGGAAAUGUACAGGUCAUGAGUUGUUUGUUUUUGUUUUUGUUCAUUUUUUUGGUUUUUUUCGAGACAAGGUUUCUCUGUGUAGCCCUAGCUGUUCUGGAACUCACUCUGUAGACCAGGCUGGCCUCGAACUCAGAAAUCUGCCUGCCUCUGCCUCCCGAGUGCUGGGAUUAAAGGCGUGCACCACCACUA